Molecule: ribosomal RNA, 580 nt
Filed under: uncultured eukaryote
Lineage: Eukaryota
Description: bacterial SSU rRNA
Rfam family: Eukaryotic small subunit ribosomal RNA
Source: RNAcentral
UUGAUAAUGGAAAGUUACAUGGAUAACCGUGGUAAUUCUAGAGCUAAUACAUGCUAUCUGCCCAACUUCACGGAAGGGCUGUAUUUAUUAGAUACUAAACCAAUGCAGCAAUGCAUUGUGGUGAAUCACAGUAACUGAUCGAAUCGGCGCGCAAGCGGCGAUAAAUCAUUCAAGUUUCUGCCCUAUCAGCUUUCGAUGGUAGUGUAUUGGACUACCAUGGCAGUCACGGGUAACGGAGAAUUAGGGUUCGGUUCCGGAGAGGGAGCCUGAGAAACGGCUACCACAUCUAAGGAUGGCAGCAGGCGCGUAAAUUACCCAAUCCUGAUUCAGGGAGGUAGUGACAAGAAAUAACAACCUGGGAGCCUCUGGCUCUACGGGAUUGCAAUGAGAACAAUUUAGAUCACUUAGCGAGGAACAAUUGGAGGGCAAGUCUGGUGCCAGCAGCCGCGGUAAUUCCAGCUCCAAUAGCGUAUAUUAAAGUUGUUGCAGUUAAAAAGCUCGUAGUUGAAUGUCUGGCUGUCGGGUGUUUUGGCUUCGGUCGAGCAGUCGGCGGUCAUCCGCAUACGAAACUAGUACGGCC